CAGUCGCCGCGGUAAUACGAAGGGGGCUAGCGUUGUUCGGAAUUACUGGGCGUAAAGCGCACGUAGGCGGAUAUUUAAGUCAGGGGUGAAAUCCCAGAGCUCAACUCUGGAACUGCCUUCGAUACUGGGUAUCUUGAGUAUGGAAGAGGUUAGUGGAAUUGCGAGUGUAGAGGUGAAAUUCGUAGAUAUUCGCAGGAACACCAGUGGCGAAGGCGGCUAACUGGUCCAUAACUGACGCUGAGGUGCGAAAGCGUGGGGAGCAAACAGGAUUAGAUACCCCGGUAGUCCCUGUCUCUUAUAC
This 301-nucleotide ribosomal RNA is filed under the name uncultured bacterium. RNAcentral describes it as "partial 16S ribosomal RNA". It matches the Rfam family "Bacterial small subunit ribosomal RNA", at positions 509 to 807 of the family's 1533-position model. The record is from RNAcentral.